Hemicordylus capensis (graceful crag lizard) is the source of this 951-nucleotide long non-coding RNA. RefSeq lists it as uncharacterized. The record is from RefSeq and is a predicted model, not a curated record. The transcript is spliced from 3 exons. NCBI's taxonomy places the organism in Eukaryota, Metazoa, Chordata, Lepidosauria, Squamata, Cordylidae.
GGCCAUGCGUGGGGAUGUGUUAGAAAGGUCGCGAUUGGCUGAGAAGGCAGCAGCUGGAGAGGAGUGUGCCUGCCUGCCACACCCGCCAUCGGGAACGAGUUUGCUGUCAGCUGGGAGGAGGGAGUUUGAAGGCAGCAGCCCACUGGGAAGGAGUUUUCCAGCUGGAGUCAGCUGAGGAGGGAGUUUGAAGGCAGAAGCCCCACCAUCGGGAAGGAGUUUUCCGGCUGGGGCUGGAAGCAAGGAAGGGUGGGAAGCAGUUUGACCACAAGAGAGAGGAGCUUGCUCCAGGAGGAAGUUGGCAGCAGUUGGCAACUUAUCACUCCACUGCUUCUUUGCUUGAAAUGGAGACUGAAGGACAGCUGGAUGAUGACAGGUCGACACUGGUGUUGAUGGGAGACUGAGGGAGAAUGUCAAAAGCUGUGGAAUAGCUAGAGUGUCACUCAGGAGACUGGAACCACUUAAUGCCUGAGGAACCUCUCCAAGAAGAAGUAUGAUGUUGCAUUCAAACAGAUCUAAAACCUGUAUACUACAAGCACUUCAUAUACAGAAGAACUGAGUAAUCACUCAUGCAUCACCCACACCUGAAAGAGCUUUGUAAGGUGCAGUCUCCAUCUGGAGACCCCUGCUCUACAUGUUCCUACUCAAUCCUAAGUGGACCAAGCAUUCAUCUUGAAAACAAAAAUGAAAUUUCAAAGCAAUGUGAAAACUAUGAUACAAAAAGAGAAUAAAGCACCCAACAGUAACGUUUCUUCCUUACUUUCUUAUUUUAAAGGGGAAUACACAAGUGAGCUUCUGUAAUUUCCAAUAGAUUGUCUUCUUUAUAUGGAAAAAAGAUUAUCCUGAAAAUAACCAACAGUCUUUUUCAACAUGAUCUUGUUUUGCAACAGGUAUCUCCCCUUACAAUUGCAUUAUAUUUGUCCAAAUUGUUUAUCCAACAGAGGGAUGACUUAC